Molecule: long non-coding RNA, 558 nt
Filed under: Phasianus colchicus (ring-necked pheasant)
Lineage: Eukaryota; Metazoa; Chordata; Aves; Galliformes; Phasianidae
Description: lncRNA (ENSPCLG00000017906.1)
Source: RNAcentral
CAGGCACAGGGUGGCCCAGAUAAUAGUAUGACGAAUAGAACUACUUCACCGUCUGUUGAGCCCUCAGUCCUACUCAGAGCUGCUUUUUCUCUGUUAAAAGAUGUUUUGUCCUGUUAUGUUAAGUCAUCUUGACAUACUGCCAUGAAAUGGAAAUAACUGCUAGUUUUAACUUUGCUCCGUAUCAUUAUUAAAAGAGUCAUCAAUCUCAUGAGAGUCAUCUUGCCAUCUGUACCAGCGUUGCUCCAGGCUUCCAUAUGAAAGUCCAAUCUGGCGGUAUAAAUACUGGAUAAUGAAGACACUAGCAGAGUCUUUACACUGCACACCACUGCUGACCCCAGAAAUGACCCACAGGAACUACUGGCGAAAGGAGCGAAAAGGUUGGCAUCAGAACUGAAGAAGAUCAGGGAUCAGCCAACCUCUUUAACUGUGGUGAGCAGAACUGAUGUGCCUUGGAUACAGCAAACAAAAACUGGAGGCCAGAAAGAUGCCAUUUCCUUUUUCCUCUCCUACUGACCUAGCCAUUAGGACUGCACUGCUCACUCAGGUAUUCUCAGCUGA